This 270-nucleotide unclassified non-coding RNA is filed under the name Hevea brasiliensis (rubber tree). The record is from RNAcentral. Lineage: Eukaryota; Viridiplantae; Streptophyta; Magnoliopsida; Malpighiales; Euphorbiaceae.
GUUUAGAUACGCCACGAAGGUAGGAGCGAGCUACAUCAACAAGCCCAAAAUGCGACAUUAUGUGCACUGCUAUGCCCUUCAUUGCCUGGAUGAAGAGGCCUCCAAUGCACUGAGGAAAACUUUCAAGGAUAGAGGAGAAAAUGUUGGAGCUUGGAGACAGGCAUGCUACAUGCCACUUGUGACCAUAGCAGCACGUCAAGGGUGGGAUAUUGAUGCUAUUUUUAAUGCACAUCCUCGUCUCGCCAUUUGGUAUGUACCCACCAAGCUCCG